CGAGCGGACUUGAUGGAGUGCUUGCACUCCUGAUGGUUAGCGGCGGACGGGUGAGUAACACGUAGGCAACCUGCCCUCAAGACUGGGAUAACUACCGGAAACGGUAGCUAAUACCGGAUAAUUUAUUACAUAGCAUUAUGUGAUAAUGAAAGACGGAGCAAUCUGUCACUUGGGGAUGGGCCUGCGGCGCAUUAGCUAGUUGGUGGGGUAACGGCCCACCA
This 221-nucleotide ribosomal RNA is filed under the name Paenibacillus vortex. Its description in RNAcentral is "partial 16S ribosomal RNA". It matches the Rfam family "Bacterial small subunit ribosomal RNA", at positions 63 to 270 of the family's 1533-position model. Lineage: Bacteria; Bacillati; Bacillota; Bacilli; Caryophanales; Paenibacillaceae. The record is from RNAcentral.